UACAGUUUAUUUGAUGGUCAUUCUCUACAUGGAUAACUGUGGUAAUUCAAGAGCUAAUACAUGCGCCAAAAUCCGACUUCUCGGAAGGGUUGUGUUUAUUAGAUUCAGAACCAACCCAGGCUCUUGCCUGGUGCUUUGGUGAUUCAUGAUAACCGAACGAAUCGCAUGGCGUAAGCCGGCGAUGAAUCAUUCAAGUUUCUGACCUAUCAGCUUCCGACGGUAGGGUAUUGGCCUACCGUGGCAAUGACGGGUAACGGAGAAUUAGGGUUCGAUUCCGGAGAGGGAGCCUGAGAAACGGCUACCACA
RNAcentral lists this ribosomal RNA (306 nucleotides) under uncultured eukaryote. Its description in RNAcentral is "SSU rRNA". It matches the Rfam family "Eukaryotic small subunit ribosomal RNA", at positions 111 to 414 of the family's 1831-position model. The record is from RNAcentral.